GAUGAACGCUGGCGGCGUGCCUAAUACAUGCAAGUCGAGCGAACGGACGAGAAGCUUGCUUCUCUGAUGUUAGCGGCGGACGGGUGAGUAACACGUGGAUAACCUACCUAUAAGACUGGGAUAACUUCGGGAAACCGGAGCUAAUACCGGAUAAUAUUUUGAACCGCAUGGUUCAAAAGUGAAAGACGGUCUUGCUGUCACUUAUAGAUGGAUCCGCGCUGCAUUAGCUAGUUGGUAAGGUAACGGCUUACCAAGGCAACGAUGCAUAGCCGACCUGAGAGGGUGAUCGGCCACACUGGAACUGAGACACGGUCCAGACUCCUACGGGAGGCGGCAGUAGGGAAUCUUCCGCAAUGGGCGAAAGCCUGACGGAGCAACGCCGCGUGAGUGAUGAAGGUCUUCGGAUCGUAAAACUCUGUUAUUAGGGAAGAACAUAUGUGUAAGUAACUGUGCACAUCUUGACGGUACCUAAUCAGAAAGCCACGGCUAACUACGUGCCAGCAGCCGCGGUAAUACGUAGGUGGCAAGCGUUAUCCGGAAUUAUUGGGCGUAAAGCGCGCGUAGGCGGCUUUUUAAGUCUGAUGUGAAAGCCCACGGCUCAACCGUGGAGGGUCAUUGGAAACUGGAAAACUUGAGUGCAGAGGAGAAAAGUGGAAUUCCAUGUGUAGCGGUGAAAUGCGCAGAGAUAUGGAGGAACACCAGUGGCGAAGGCGACUUUCUGGUCUGUAACUGACGCUGAUGUGCGAAAGCGUGGGGAUCAAACAGGAUUAGAUACCCUGGUAGUCCACGCCGUAAACGAUGAGUGCUAAGUGUUAGGGGGUUUCCGCCCCUUAGUGCUGCAGCUAACGCAUUAAGCACUCCGCCUGGGGAGUACGACCGCAAGGUUGAAACUCAAAGGAAUUGACGGGGACCCGCACAAGCGGUGGAGCGUGUGGUUUAAUUCGAAGCAACGCGAAGAACCUUACCAAAUCUUGACAUCCUUUGACAACUCUAGAGAUAGAGCUUUCCCCUUCGGGGGACAAAGUGACAGGUGGUGCAUGGUUGUCGUCAGCUCGUGUCGUGAGAUGUUGGGUUAAGUCCCGCAACGAGCGCAACCCUUAAGCUUAGUUGCCAUCAUUAAGUUGGGCACUCUAAGUUGACUGCCGGUGACAAACCGGAGGAAGGUGGGGAUGACGUCAAAUCAUCAUGCCCCUUAUGAUUUGGGCUACACACGUGCUACAAUGGACAAUACAAAGGGCAGCGAAACCGUGAGGUCAAGCAAAUCCCAUAAAGUUGUUCUCAGUUCGGAUUGUAGUCUGCAACUCGACUACAUGAAGCUGGAAUCGCUAGUAAUCGUAGAUCAGCAUGCUACGGUGAAUACGUUCCCGGGUCU
Molecule: ribosomal RNA, 1372 nt
Filed under: uncultured bacterium
Lineage: Bacteria
Description: bacterial SSU rRNA
Rfam family: Bacterial small subunit ribosomal RNA
Source: RNAcentral